This 68-nucleotide transfer RNA is filed under the name Tapena vasava (tawny angle). Its description in RNAcentral is "Ctenoptilum vasava (tawny angle) tRNA-Met". Lineage: Eukaryota; Metazoa; Arthropoda; Insecta; Lepidoptera; Hesperiidae. The record is from RNAcentral.
UUAAAAAUAAGCUAAAUAAAGCUGUUGGGUUCAUACCCCAAAAAAGGAGCAAAUCCCUUUUUUUUAAA